CAGCUUAUAUUUUAUAAUAAAAUUUAAUUUUUGGGGAUUUAAGAUGUAUAUUUUAUACUUUGCUGA
Molecule: transfer RNA, 66 nt
Filed under: Typhlocyba choui
Lineage: Eukaryota; Metazoa; Arthropoda; Insecta; Hemiptera; Cicadellidae
Description: tRNA-Pro
Source: RNAcentral